Molecule: long non-coding RNA, 4616 nt
Filed under: Homo sapiens (human)
Lineage: Eukaryota; Metazoa; Chordata; Mammalia; Primates; Hominidae
Description: HSALNT0333394
Source: RNAcentral
CCUAAAUGUGAGACAAUUGUGAAAAGUGGAGGACAGAGCCACCUGGUUAAAUACAGCCCCAGCUUUCUGGUGAGAGGACUGAAACCAAGAUGUGUCAAGUAACUAGAAUGUGCCUGGACAGAUACUGUAGAAAGCAAAACCAUAAAGUUGUUCAUGAGCUUGUGGACGCACCUGCCAGCUGUGAAUAAGUGGCUCUAAUCCCGAACAACUUACCUAAAAAGAGCCUGAGAGCUGAACUGUGCAAUGGCCCACUUUCCAGUCCUCACUGACCACUGGGUUGCACACACUUUGGAGAUCUCUGAACAGCAGUGUCAAGGCUUUCAAAUAGAGUUAUCUUUGAAACGACAACACAUGAAAGUCUGGUUGGUACUUGGAGCUUAAAUACAAGGCAAUUGUGUGCCUGCAAAAACAAAAAUAGCAAUAUUAUCCUUAAGAUUUCAACAAGACACAGUGUCUCAUCACAUAAUCCAAAGAAGUCCAGGUUACAAGCCCCACAAUAUUCAGCAUUAUGAAAAAACAGGGAGAUCUUAAUUCACAUGGCAAAGAGAAUCCUCGAAUAACAAUAUUGAGAGGACACAGAUGUCAAAAUCAUCUGACACAUACAUUAAAGCAGAUAUUAUAACAAUGCUCCUAGAAUCGGGGAUAACAUUCGUGAAGUGAAUGGAAAGUUGGAAAGUCUCACCAAAUAUUUCGAAUACAUAAACACCAAUUUAAACUUAAGAAUUAAAAAAAUGUAUUAACCAAAACUCUUAGGGGAAAUAAAAAGCUUAAUUGGAGGAUCUCCAUAAUCGAAUGCAGAAGACUAAGGAAAAAGUCAAUGAACUUGAAAACAGAACACGAAUACCUACAUAAUCUGAACUAUAGAGAGAAAGGAGGAUUUUAUUGUCUCUGAACAGAGGCUCAGGCACAAAUAAAAAAUAACAAAUCCAACAUUCACAUUAUUGUAAUCUGGAAAGAAGAGGACAAAGUGGUCUUUGUGGGAUAAAACUUUGAACAAUUAAUAGCUGAAAAUGGUUCAAAUUUGUCAAAAGAUAUAAACCAGAUUUUUAAAGUUCAGUAAAUGUCAAUCAGGAUAAACCCAAAGAAACCCAUAGCAAGGCAUAUCAUAAUCAAACUGCUGAAAACUAAGAAAAUACAAAACAAUUUUGAAAGCAGCCAAAGGGAAAUGAAAGAGAAACUACCAAAUGAAUGAUUGUAGAUUUCGCAUCAGGAACCAUAGGGGCCAGAAAAAAUGUCAUAACAUUCGGUAAGUAACAAAAGAAAAAGACAUAUCGACCCAGAAUGCUAUGUGGAGCAAAAGUAUCUUCCAGACAUAAAGGCAAAUAAAUGCAUUCUCAGUGGAAGGUAAGUAAAUACAUUCUCAUUCUUAGGAAGACUGCUGGAAAAGAAUUAGCAAAGAUUUGAGAUAAGAAAAAUGAUACCAGAAGGAAACUUAGAACAUCAUCAGUGAAGGAACAAAAGCAGAAAUAGAACAUGUCUGGGUAGACAUAACAGACUAUUAUUCUUCCCUUGAGUUCCUUAAGGAGACUACGGAAAAGAAGAGUGACUAAGAUCUCUGAAGAAGGGAAAAGCUAGAUGACUGGGCCACAAGAGAAAAAAAGCAGCAAGACAGAGAUUUGUUGGUGCCAACUAAAUGAGCCCAACAGCCAGUGACAACAGAACUGCACUAAAAAAAGUCCCUCAUCAGCUCUUGAGAGCAGGUUCCUUAAAGCUUGAAUGUGAGGCAACUGUGAAAAGUGCAGGGCAGAGCCACCUGGGUAAAUACAGCCCUGGCUUUCUGGUGAGAGGACUGAAACCAGGAUGUGUCAAGUAACUAGAAUGUGCCUGGACAGAUACUGUAGAAAGCAAACCCAUAAAGUUGUUCAUGAGCUUGUGGACGCACCUGCCAGCUGUGAAUAAGUGGGUCUAAUCCCAAACAACUUACCUAAAAAGAGCCUGAGGACUGAACUAAACAAUGGUCCGCUUUCCAGUCCUCACUGACCACUGGUUGCACACACUCCAGAGAUCUCUCAUCCGCAGUGUCAAGGCUUUCAAAUAGAGUUAUCUGUGAAACAACAACACAUGGAAGUCUGGUUGGUACUUGGAGCUUAAAUACAAGGCAAUUGUGUGCCUGCAAAAACAAAAAGAGCAAUAUUAUCCUUAAGAUUUCAACAAGACACAGUGUCUCAUCACAUAAUCCAAAGAAGUCCAGGUUACAAGCCCCAAAAUAUUCAGCAUUAUGAAAAACCAGGGAGAUCUUAAUUCACAUGGCAAAGAGAAUCCUUGCAUAACAAUAUUGAGAGGACACAUAUGUCAAAAUCAUCUGACACAUACAUUAAAGCAGUUAUUAUAACAAUGCUCCUAGAAUUACGGGAUAGCAUUCAUGAAGUGAAUGGAAAGUUGGAAAGUCUCACCAAAUAUUUGGAAUAUGUAAACACCAAUUUAAACUUAAGAAUUAAAAAAAGUAUUAACCAAAACUAUUAGGGGAAAUAAAAAGCUUAAUUGGAUGAUCUCAAUAGCAGUAUGCAGAAGACUAAGGAAAAAGUCAAUGAACUUGAAAACGGAACAAGAAUACCUACAGAAUCUGACCUAUAGAAAGAAAGGAGGAUUUUAUUGUCCCUGAACAGAGGCUCAGGGACAAAUAAAAAAUAACAAAUCUAACAUUCACAUUAUUGUAAUCUGGAAACAUUCACAUUAUUGUAAGAGGACAAAGAGGUCUUUGUGGGAUAAAACUGUGAAGAAUUAAUGGCUGAAAAUGUAUCAAAUUUCUCAAAAGAUAUAAACCAGAUUUUUAAAGUUCAGUAAAUGUCAAGCAGGAUAAACCAAAAGAAACCCAUUGCAAGACAUAUCAUAAUCAAACUGCGGAAAAUUAAGAAAACACAAAACAAUUUUGAAAGCAGCCAAAGGGAAAUGAAAGAUAAAAUACCAAAUGAAUGAUUGUAGAUUUCUCAUCGGGAACCCAGGAGCCAGAAAAAAAUGUCAUAACAUUCAGUAAAUACCAAAGGAAAAAUACAUUAUCAACCCAGAAUGGUAUGUGGAGCAAAAGUAUCUUCCAGACAUAAAGGCAAAUAAAUGCAUUCUCAUUGGAAGGUAAAUAAAUACAUUCUCAGUCCUAGCAAAACUGCUGGAAAAGAAUUAGCAAAGGUUUGAGAUAAGAAAAGUGAUACCAGAAGGAAACUUAGAACAUCAUCAAUGAAGGAACAAAAGCAGAAAUAGAAAAUGUCUGGGUAGACAUAACAGACUAUUAUUCUUCUCUUGAGUUCCUUAAGGUAUGUUUGAUGGUUGAAAGCAAAAAUUGUAACUUUAUCUGAUGCAGUUGUCAUUGUAUCUAGAUGUACUACAUACAUAAGAUAAAAGGGUAAAUGUAAUGGGACUAACUCUUGAUGAAGUUUCUAUAUUCAACUUGAAUGGUAAAAUAUUGAUUCUUAGUAUACUGUGAAAAGUUAUAUAUGUAUAUGGUAAUCCCUAGACCACUUAACAACCAGAUUGAAAUAAACCAAAACAAGAUAGACAGAGGAACAUAGAAGAAUUAAAACAAAGGGAAAAAAGGUUAAUAAAUUAUUAAAUAGUAGAUCUAUCUAAAAACUUAUCUAUAAUAACAUUAUAUGUAAAUUAUCUAAAUGCAUUAAGUAAAAACUAGAGAUCAUCAGAAUGUGUUAAAAAUAAAUAUGCUGACUAAAGAAAGCCACCUGCAAUACACUUAUAAAUAAGAAUAAAAGUUAUAGAGCAGAUUGAAAGAAAAGAGUGGGAAAAGAUACCUCAUGCAAGCAUUAAUCAAAGACAGCUGUGGUGUAUAUAUAUAAAAUCAGACAAAGUAGAUUUGAAAGCAGAGAAACUUUUCAGGAAUAAUGAGGCCUCCUAAAUAAUUAUGAUUGUCAAUUUUUCAGGAGAAUAUUGUCCCAAAUGUAUAUGAGGACACAGAGCUUCAAAACUCAUAAACAAAAUUGGAUACGCCAAGUAAAAAUAGAAAAAUCCAGUUAUAGUUGCAGUCAUUAACACUCCUCUCUGAGUAAUUGGAAGAUUUAGUGGAACACAAAUCAACAGACAUACUGGAGAAUUGAACCAUGCCAUCCAGUAAUGGACCUAUCAAUUUCAUAAUGCAAAAUAAAAAUUCAGGUAGAAAGCAAAGACAAAAAUUAAAAGAAAAGCAAGAUCAUGUUAUAAUGAGAAAAUUAAGAGUAGUCCAGUGUAUAGAAGGGUGCUAUUAUUGAAAGAGUUUGAAAUAGUGACUUAGUUAUUUUGAAACAUUUUUGAAGACGUUAUUUAGCUGGAAAUGACAGAAAGACUGAAAAUGGUGAAUGUGGAGGUGGAUCUUCCCUUGUCCAUAUUUAUCUUGUCUUCGUUUGAGGUCUGGGGUGUCUAUACUUCCUCUGAAUUACCUGAUCUUACUACAGUGUCUGGCACAGAGCAUCUCCCCAGUGAAUAUGUACUAAAUGAGUAGAAAGUAAUUGAUAGAUUCAAAAGAGUUGUGCAAGAAUAAUGUUCAUUAUUUGACUAAUCACUGAAUGUGGUGUUUCAAGGAAGACAAUGAAUCAAAGUUGACUUGAAAGGUAAGCCCAGGGCCAGACGUGGUGGCUCAUUUCUGUAAUCCCAGCACUUUGGGAGGCCGAGAUCAGUGGAUCCCUUGACACCAGGAG